UGCAGGUCGAGCGGACAGAUGGGAGCUUGCUCCCUGAUGUUAGCGGCGGACGGGUGAGUAACACGUGGGUAACCUGCCUGUAAGACUGGGAUAACUCCGGGAAACCGGGGCUAAUACCGGAUGGUUGUUUGAACCGCAUGGUUCAAACAUAAAAGGUGGCUUCGGCUACCACUUACAGAUGGACCCGCGGCGCAUUAGCUAGUUGGUGAGGUAACGGCUCACCAAGGCAACGAUGCGUAGCCGACCUGAGAGGGUGAUCGGCCACACUGGGACUGAGACACGGCCCAGACUCCUACGGGAGGCAGCAGUAGGGAAUCUUCCGCAAUGGACGAAAGUCUGACGGAGCAACGCCGCGUGAGUGAUGAAGGUUUUCGGAUCGUAAAGCUCUGUUGUUAGGGAAGAACAAGUACCGUUCGAAUAGGGCGGUACCUUGACGGUACCUAACCAGAAAGCCACGGCUAACUACGUGCCAGCAGCCGCGGUAAUACGUAGGUGGCAAGCGUUGUCCGGAAUUAUUGGGCGUAAAGGGCUCGCAGGCGGUUUCUUAAGUCUGAUGUGAAAGCCCCCGGCUCAACCGGGGAGGGUCAUUGGAAACUGGGGAACUUGAGUGCAGAAGAGGAGAGUGGAAUUCCACGUGUAGCGGUGAAAUGCGUAGAGAUGUGGAGGAACACCAGUGGCGAAGGCGACUCUCUGGUCUGUAACUGACGCUGAGGAGCGAAAGCGUGGGGAGCGAACAGGAUUAGAUACCCUGGUAGUCCACGCCGUAAACGAUGAGUGCUAAGUGUUAGGGGGUUUCCGCCCCUUAGUGCUGCAGCUAACGCAUUAAGCACUCCGCCUGGGGAGUACGGUCGCAAGACUGA
This 860-nucleotide ribosomal RNA is filed under the name Bacillus subtilis. RNAcentral's name for it is "bacterial SSU rRNA". It matches the Rfam family "Bacterial small subunit ribosomal RNA", at positions 56 to 897 of the family's 1533-position model. Lineage: Bacteria; Bacillati; Bacillota; Bacilli; Caryophanales; Bacillaceae. The record is from RNAcentral.